Long non-coding RNA from Folsomia candida, 3529 nucleotides. RefSeq lists it as uncharacterized. The record is from RefSeq and is a predicted model, not a curated record. The transcript has 2 exons. Lineage: Eukaryota; Metazoa; Arthropoda; Collembola; Entomobryomorpha; Isotomidae.
ACUUGGGUAUAUAAACGACACAAACUUAUUUAAAUAAAGCUUUGAAUUAAGAAGCAUAAGAUGAUCAAAUUUGGUACUUGUUUAGUCUUGGCGAUAUGGACCGUUGUGUUUUUGUCUGCAGAAGUACUCUGCAAUUGCCAGUGGAAUGUGUAUGACGUAAGCUACCAAGACGCGUUGGGCAUACUCACAUCAACGUGUUUAGUAUUUCGCAUCGCAAAUCAUUCAGAAAAUAGCGAAAUAAAUAAAUAAUUAAGAUGAAUAAAAUAAAAACUGUGUAUUAUAGCAAUUUGAAUUUUCCAACAAAAAUGUAAUUGUUUUCAAGCAAAACGUUUGUCAGAAUUUUAUACAAAUUUCAGAAAACUAAAACUUGUGCAGGUUAUAUGUUAACACAUUCAGAUUUAAAGUUUAUGUUACGCUGACCAAAGUUAUCGUGGGUAUGCUCAACCUUAUGCUUAUAAAUAGCUUACAAUAUUAACCUCUUACAUUUCCUCAGGUUUCCCAUGUUAUCUUCGAGCACCAAAUUUGUGGAGACGCAGCUCAGAAUGGUGUGUUCCGGUGCACAAAUGGGGGUGCCACCGCCACCUAUGUGCUUUCAUCAUCAUUUUUUGAUGCCAGGAGAUGUGGUGAUGAUGAUGAUGCGGAGGUGCCAUCCCCCAGGUGGGCCAAAUGUACACCGCGUUAUUUGGUUGGCUCUCCCCGUUCUUCCAUAAGCGUCACUCGAAUACAUAAGAUCGAUUCUUCUGGUAGAAUCUAUAUUCUGUGGGAGAAUGGGCAAUUUCAAUAAUUGCGUAACCCAGCAAUACUUGCAGUAAUGGGCCGACUAAAGUCAAGGCCAAGAAUAUACGAUCUCUAAUGCACGAAUUUAGAAUUUUUUCCAGCACUUUUACACUUCUAUAAAGUGACAACUUCCCAUCUUGUCCCUCAAGUCCUUUACAGUCCAGCCAUAAACAGCCAUGCCCGUGCCAGUGGUCGAGAUUACGUAGUGCGCGCCUGAAACAGCAACAGUUUGAUAUCCAACAAACUCAAGAAUGACCAAUCCGACCGGAAUCAAUGUCCCGUUCCAUUCUGAGUUGCACAACAAUGAAGAAAACAAGGGUGGAAAGCACGGCCAAAUAAUGCACAGCAAUGCCACGGAAAUGGGGACAAGCCAACUUCCAGAGUAGACCAGAUUCACUAGUAUGGCUAAGCAUUUAUGUAGCCUCCCCGGGAAUACCUUUGUCUGCAAGUUGUAAAUAUUUAAGUGACAGUCUAUAACUUUUGAAAUUUUUACAGAUGUAGAUUUUACAGUAGAUUAUACAGACCUUUCCUGGCCUCAAUGUAGUUUAACAGUUGACCCGGCGUGGGAUCUCGAUUGAUGUCGAAAAGGAGGAAGAAUGCUAAAAAGUAGGCGCCACUCAACGCCGUUCCCACAACGGCCUGAUAAAAUGUGACGAUUUCAUUAAAAUUGAUACCAUUUGGCAUACAAGAUGGAAGGCGUGGAAAGUAAUCCAAAAAUAUGUUACGGUUUGUUUCCCUGUUUUGGUCGGUAUGAACAGAUCUUUGUCUUUAUUGAACGUUAGAAAGAGACAGUUGUAGAAGUCUGCAAUUUUGAGGAAGCGUUUGAUACCGUGGAAUGUAUGGGAAAACAUUUUUUGUAGAUUUUAAGGCUUAAUAAGUAUUGGGUGUACAAAUAUGUAGAAUGUCUGGGAAAUUUUAGGAGGCAGUUCAAUUCAGGCAGGUCUACAUUUAAGUUUACUUAAAAUUUUACUGCUCAAGAUUUACCAGAACGACUUACUCGAGAUCGGAAGUGAAAUGUUUGAACACGUGUGUAUAACAUACACACGUAUUUUAGUGCAACUUCGCUAGUUAUUGACUAGUAGUCAGUUAAGGUGGUAUAGUAUGCGGGUUUUGAGUUUGAAUUGUUGAUUGUUGAAGGCGAUUUUGAAACCUGUUCAUCUCCGUGAGUUUUUCACAAUAUGAAGAUUUUAAUGCACCUAAAAAUUGUUGAUUUUUACAAAGUUAGAAUGGUGUGAUGUUGAUUUUUGUCUUCCAAGAGAAAUAUUUAAGUUUUACUGAUUAUUUUUCGUCUAUUUUAUAUUUAUUUUCUCAAAAUCUCCAUUUGAAUAUAUGGAAGAAGGGAAAGUUGAGACACAACAAUUUAAACUCAAAACCCGUAUACUAUACAACCUUAACAUUUCCCGUGUGUUCCUCUGUACAUUAUGUGUCUACGUACAUAACAAGUGAUAUCAAAUCAAGCCGUAUUUUAUUCAAGUGUAAAUAUGUACGUAUCGGUUUGCAAAACUAGCUCUAAAUAAAUAUAUGUAUGACACAGGAAGCCGCUAAGCUAUUAUGAAUGUGUGUAAAUAUUUAAACGGUAUCAAAUAUACAUAUAGGUAAGUAUGCUAAUACCAAAUAUAGAUUCCACUUGCAUUGAGUUACUUCAAAGUUGAGUCAAUAUUUCAAAAUUUAUUUUGUCCAAUAUUUCUUCAUUAUAUACAUCUGUAUUUGUGCAUGCACACAUUUGCAAAUGUUACAAUUUAAUCUGACUAAUAUCGCAAAUUCUGCGCGUCAAGGGAGUAAGUACGUAUUCCUUGAUGUGUUUGAUCGGCGCGUAGUUUCGAUGUUUAUUCGGUUGUGCAAUAAAAUUAAGAUGCGCGUUGCUUAAUGAAAAAGCAUAUUUUUUAAUGUAUAUAAAUUCAAAUUUUAAAAUCAUAAAUAGUCUUAAUCAUAAUUUUAAAAUCAUAAAUCAAUUUUAAAAAUCAUAAAUUCAAAUUUUAAAAUCAUAAAUAGAAUCAACAAAAAUAGACAUAAGCAUGAAUUGAAUCCGUUAAGUUAUUUUACCCCAACAAUAGCAAAUUAACGAUUUGUAUAGAGCAAAAAUGCUGCACGACCAGCGGUGUCAACUCGUCCACGAAAUUAUUCCCAAACCUCAAUCUAACCUGGGUCAGGGAUCUUGCAAAUCUUGUCUCCAAUUUCCCCCUUGCCCUGAUCCUAACUCCGUCCAAGUAAUCGGCACUUUUCGAGUAAAGUUUUGCCGACCCGGUGAACAACACCAUGUUGAAAAGGAUGCCAUCCACCAUCCCAAAAAAUACUACGAGCAGAUGGGUCAGCUGCAUGGCGUCGAAGUGCUUCACGCAUGCGUACGUCGUAAUAAUUUGGAUGCCUGGAACCGUCGCGGCGAAGACGGGAAAGAUUCGGAAUCGCGUGCAUGAAUUCAAGAGCUGUUCAAAAACUUGGACUUGCCUGGAAAAAAUAAAAAAAAAUGAUAUUGCGGAUACAAUUCGUUCGCUAAUUUACACUGUUAGAACUCUGGUAUAGUCAAGCAGGUAUUGAUUCCUCAGUAUUAAAGUUACUAGCGCUAGGUAUUAAAAUUAUACAUCCGUAAAACAUUGGUACAGAUAUGGAAAAACUUUAAUAACGAGCUAUAUCAGGACGACUUUGAUAGAGUCAUAUAAAUACCGCUUGGUAUUAUUUUAAUACUGGAUUUCUAAUGGUGUAUGUAGUCAAUUGUAAGAAUACAAAUAAAAUUCUGAUCUGUAUGUAGCUUACC